UACGGAGGGGGCUAGCGUUGUUCGGAAUUACUGGGCGUAAAGCGCACGUAGGCGGCUUUGUAAGUUAGAGGUGAAAGCCCGGGGCUCAACUCCGGAAUUGCCUUUAAGACUGCAUCGCUAGAAUUGUGGAGAGGUAAGUGGAAUUCCGAGUGUAGAGGUGAAAUUCGUAGAUAUCGGGAGGAACACCGGUGGCGAAGGCGGCGACCUGGGUAGAUACUGACGCUGAGGUGCGAAAGCGUGGGGAGCAGACAGG
This 253-nucleotide ribosomal RNA is filed under the name uncultured bacterium. RNAcentral describes it as "partial 16S ribosomal RNA". It matches the Rfam family "Bacterial small subunit ribosomal RNA", at positions 524 to 776 of the family's 1533-position model. The record is from RNAcentral.